UGGGGAAUAUUGCACAAUGGGCGCAAGCCUGAUGCAGCCAUGCCGCGUGUGUGAAGAAGGCCUUCGGGUUGUAAAGCACUUUCAGCGGGGAGGAAGGCGUUAAGGUUAAUAACCUUGGCGAUUGACGUUACCCGCAGAAGAAGCACCGGCUAACUCCGUGCCAGCAGCCGCGGUAAUACGGAGGGUGCAAGCGUUAAUCGGAAUUACUGGGCGUAAAGCGCACGCAGGCGGUCUGUCAAGUCGGAUGUGAAAUCCCCGGGCUCAACCUGGGAACUGCAUUCGAAACUGGCAGGCUAGAGUCUUGUAGAGGGGGGUAGAAUUCCAGGUGUAGCGGUGAAAUGCGUAGAGAUCUGGAGGAAUACCGGUGGCGAAGGCAGCCCCCUGGACAAAGACUGACGCUCAGGUGCGAAAGCGUGGGGAGCAAACAGG
Molecule: ribosomal RNA, 429 nt
Filed under: Chloroflexota bacterium
Lineage: Bacteria; Bacillati; Chloroflexota
Description: Chloroflexi bacterium partial 16S ribosomal RNA
Rfam family: Bacterial small subunit ribosomal RNA
Source: RNAcentral